UCCCUGGUGGUCCAGUGGCUAAGACUCUGCACUCCCAAUGCACAAGGCCAGGGUUUGAUCCCUGGUCAGGGAA
This 73-nucleotide transfer RNA is filed under the name Bos taurus (domestic cattle). It matches the Rfam family "tRNA". From Rfam's summary of the family: Transfer RNA (tRNA) molecules are approximately 80 nucleotides in length. Lineage: Eukaryota; Metazoa; Chordata; Mammalia; Artiodactyla; Bovidae. RNAcentral also lists the same sequence under 3 other names. The record is from Rfam by way of RNAcentral.